GACGUAGGGCGCGAGCGUUGUCCGGAUUUAUUGGGCGUAAAGCGCUCGCAGGCGGUCCGAUGCGUCGUGCGUGAAAGACCCCGGCUCAACUGGGGAGGGUCACGCGAUACUGAUCGACUCGAAGGCAGGAGAGGGUAGUGGAAUUCCCGGUGUAGUGGUGAAAUGCGUAGAUAUCGGGAGGAACACCAGUGGCGAAGGCGACUACCUGGCCUGUUCUUGACGCUGAGGCGCGAAAGCUAGGGGAGCAAACGGGG
RNAcentral lists this ribosomal RNA (254 nucleotides) under uncultured bacterium. RNAcentral describes it as "partial 16S ribosomal RNA". It matches the Rfam family "Bacterial small subunit ribosomal RNA", at positions 524 to 777 of the family's 1533-position model. The record is from RNAcentral.